UAGGGAAUCUUGCGCAAUGGGCGAAAGCCUGACGCAGCCAUGCCGCGUGAAUGAUGAAGGUCUUAGGAUUGUAAAAUUCUUUCACCGGGGAAGAUAAUGACGGUACCCGGAGAAGAAGCCCCGGCUAACUUCGUGCCAGCAGCCGCGGUAAUACGAAGGGGGCUAGCGUUGCUCGGAAUUACUGGGCGUAAAGGGCGCGUAGGCGGAUAUUUAAGCUGGGGGUGAAAGCCCGGGGCUCAACCUCGGAAUAGCCUUCAAUACUGGAUAUCUUGAGUUCGGGAGAGGUGAGUGGAAUGCCGAGUGUAGAGGUGAAAUUCGUAGAUAUUCGGCGGAACACCAGUGGCGAAGGCGACUCACUGGCCCGAUACUGACGCUGAGGCGCGAAAGCGUGGGGAGCAAACAGGAUUAGAUACCCUGGUAGUCCACGCCGUAAACGAUGAGUGCUAGUUGUCGGCAUGCAUGCAUGUCGGUGACGCAGCUAACGCAUUAAGCACUCCGCCUGGGGAGUACGGUCGCAAGAUUAAAAACUUAAAUGAAUUGAC
RNAcentral lists this ribosomal RNA (542 nucleotides) under uncultured bacterium. Its description in RNAcentral is "partial 16S ribosomal RNA". It matches the Rfam family "Bacterial small subunit ribosomal RNA", at positions 355 to 914 of the family's 1533-position model. The record is from RNAcentral.